GGUCAAGCGAACAAGUGCAUGUGGUGGAUGCCUUGGCGAUCACAGGCGAUGAAGGACGCGGUAGCCUGCGAAAAGCUACGGGGAGCUGGCAAACAAGCUUUGAUCCGUAGAUGUCCGAAUGGGGAAACCCACUCCUUUUGGAGUAUCCAUGGCUGAAUACAUAGGCCAUGCGAAGCGAACGCGGUGAACUGAAACAUCUAAGUAACCGCAGGAAAAGAAAUC
RNAcentral lists this ribosomal RNA (222 nucleotides) under Burkholderia cepacia. RNAcentral's name for it is "partial 23S ribosomal RNA". It matches the Rfam family "Bacterial large subunit ribosomal RNA", at positions 1 to 226 of the family's 2925-position model. Lineage: Bacteria; Pseudomonadati; Pseudomonadota; Betaproteobacteria; Burkholderiales; Burkholderiaceae. The record is from RNAcentral. RNAcentral also lists the same sequence under 4 other names.